GUGGGCUCUUCUGAUCUAUAUUUUUUACCUUUCACACUGUCUUCCCGGUGAGGGGAGGAACCCAGCUGGAAAGCACUACAAUCAUGGUCGAGUUUCCAACAAGUCAACUUGUGAAUGGAUAAUCAGGAGACAUGAGGAAACCAAAUGACAAAGAACAGAUGGGGUCUGUGACUGGAUCUUCUAUCAUUCCAAUUCUAUAUCCAACUUGAAUAUAUAUUCCUGGACUUACAAAACGCCAAGGGGGUGACUGGAAGUUUUGGAUAUCAGAAUAUAAAUUAGACCCGUGAGUUGGGGAGAGGGAAGAGCAAAAUCCCCUGAAUGUUUCAAUGCAAUAUCAGUAUAAAGAUCACCUUGUAUUCUCUUUGCCUUUUAAAAGCCAUUAUUACAAUCUUAGAAGAGGAAGAAAUUCAGGUACAAAAAAUGUGUUUUAAUAGCCUAAACGACGGUGCUCGGUGAGUCUUGGUUCUAAAGGUACCAAAUGAGGUCAAAGUUCUCAAACUGCUACAUACUUUGACAAGGAAAAUCUAUUUUUGUCUUCCCAUCUACAUUUAUGACCUAACUCAGGUAAAUACACCUGGUUUACUUUAACCAUUUUAUGCAGUCUGUUAUGCACUGUGGUUUCAGAUGUGCAAUAAUUUGUACAAUGGUUUAUUCCCAAGUAUGGCUUAAGCAGAACAAUUGUUUUUUCUAUAUAGUUCCUUGCCUUAAUAAAUAUGUAAUGUAAAUUUAAGCAAACUUCUAUUUUGUAUAUCUGUACAUUACAAAGUAAAAAAAUGAACAUUUUGUGGAGUUUGUAUUUUGCACAUUCAAGGUGAGAACUAAGUUUUAAAUAAACCUAUAAUAUUUUAUCUGAAAAAAAAAA
Long non-coding RNA from Aethalodelphis obliquidens (Pacific white-sided dolphin), 862 nucleotides. RefSeq lists it as uncharacterized. Lineage: Eukaryota; Metazoa; Chordata; Mammalia; Artiodactyla; Delphinidae. The transcript is spliced from 3 exons. The record is from RefSeq and is a predicted model, not a curated record.